RNAcentral lists this long non-coding RNA (1380 nucleotides) under Bos indicus x Bos taurus (hybrid cattle). Its description in RNAcentral is "lncRNA (ENSBIXG00000004386.1)". Lineage: Eukaryota; Metazoa; Chordata; Mammalia; Artiodactyla; Bovidae. The record is from RNAcentral.
AUGCCUGCAUUCUUCCUCUUUCCUCGAAUGAUGAGAAAGUUCCCAGCCCCAGUUCUACCUGAGCGCCCCAGUCGGACCACAGACACAACUCGAGCAUCUCGGCUCGACAGAAACCAAUCGGUAAACUACCCGGGUGCCAACCGGCGCGGCUGGAGCAGCACCGAGACCCUGAGGAUGCGGAACACCUGCAAGGGGCCGGGCCGGCGGCCCUCGUCCCCGCCGCGCUCCCCAUCUCCUCUCUGGCAGAGACGCGCAGAUUCCACCACUAGAGAGUUUGGCAGCUUCACAAUGGGGCCCGCCUCCUCGAGGUCUGACCGCCGCCCGCCCGGGAAGCCCUUCCCUCCGCUUCCCGCCGGGCCCAAAGGCGACAGGUGGGGCGAGGGCAGCGAUGCCCAGCGCCGUCUGCCGCGUGCACCCCCCGCCGUCCCGGCUCCCGGGCGGCCUCGCCACCUCGCGCCCCCUCAGACCGCCGAACGGGCCAGGCGGGCAGGCGAGAUAAGGCCGCCCCGGCUCGCCCCGAGGCGCUAUCUGGCCCGGGCAGUCGCACCCGGCGCGCGGCCCGGGCGAGCGGCCAGAGGUGCGGCAGGCCCGGGAAGGGCGCCGCUUCUCCCCGGGCCCGCACGGCGGCGGCGCCCACCGCCCCUCGCACCUCCCCGCGGGCGCACGCCGCGCGCACCCGGACGCACGCCGCCGCCGCGCCCUCCUCACACGCGCGGCGCCCUCGCCGCGGCGCCGACCCCACCCCGGGGCCCAGGAACGGCGAGCUCCCGGCACCCCGCCGGGGCCCCGCGCCCCGCACAGCAGCCCCCAGGCCCCUGCCCCGGGGCGCCGGGGAGCGGGGAGGGGACCCGACCGCCGAGGACAGGGCGGCGCCCACCGCGGAGGCCGCCCGACCCCGCGCUCCUCGGCGCCCGGCCCCGGGCACGAGGCGGAAGGAAGGGGGCGGCGCCGCCGCCGGGCGCUGAGGAGCCAGGGCUGAGGCAGCCUCCCCCGCCGUCACCCACCCGUCCCCACCGCUCCCUUUGCCGCAGCACAAAAGGCUGCAGGAGGAGGCGCCGGCCCCGCGCAACCUACCAGCGGCCCCAGCUCCGCGGUCUCCGUCGUGCCCCGGGCCGCGGAGACCGAGAGGCGGGCGGCACAGGCGCGGGCUGCGGCGCUGAGGCGGCCGGUUCGAGCCUGCCGGUGCCCUCUCCGCGCUCCCGGCGCGCUCGGCGCCAGCUGCCGCCCGGCGCAGUCCCCGCCUCCUCCCCGCCGCCGCCGCCGCCUUCCCGCCCUCCUCCCUCAGGCCGCAGAGGCGCAGCCCCGUCAGCGCCGAGCCCGCCUCCCGCGCCCGGCUCACACGCCCUGAGGAAGGGCGGACCCGGGCGAGAAAGGCGCUGA